Molecule: ribosomal RNA, 239 nt
Filed under: uncultured bacterium
Lineage: Bacteria
Description: partial 16S ribosomal RNA
Rfam family: Bacterial small subunit ribosomal RNA
Source: RNAcentral
UGAUCAUGGCUCAGGAUGAACGCUGGCGGCGUGCUUAACACAUGCAAGUCGAACGAGGCACUUUGAUCGAUUUCUUCGGAUUGAAAUUUUAGUGACUGAGUGGCGGACGGGUGAGUAACGCGUGGGUAACCUGCCUCACACAGGGGGAUAACAGUUGGAAACGGCUGCUAAUACCGCAUAAGCGCACAGUACCGCAUGGUACAGUGUGAAAAACUCCGGUGGUGUGAGAUGGACCCGCG